This 507-nucleotide ribosomal RNA is filed under the name uncultured bacterium. RNAcentral's name for it is "partial 16S ribosomal RNA". It matches the Rfam family "Bacterial small subunit ribosomal RNA", at positions 28 to 507 of the family's 1533-position model. The record is from RNAcentral.
GACGAACGCUGGCGGCGUGCCUAAUACAUGCAAGUCGAACGCAUUUUCUUUCACCGUAGCUUGCUACACCGAAAGAAAGUGAGUGGCGAACGGGUGAGUAACACGUUGGUAACCUGCCCAUCAGCGGGGGAUAACACUUGGAAACAGGUGCUAAUACCGCAUAAUUCCAUUUACCGCAUGGUAGAUGGAUGAAAGGCGCUUUUGCGUCACUGAUGGAUGGACCCGCGGUGCAUUAGCUAGUUGGUGGGGUAACGGCCUACCAAGGCUGCGAUGCAUAGCCGACCUGAGAGGGUGAUCGGCCACACUGGGACUGAGACACGGCCCAGACUCCUACGGGAGGCAGCAGUAGGGAAUCUUCGGCAAUGGACGCAAGUCUGACCGAGCAACGCCGCGUGAGUGAAGAAGGUUUUCGGAUUGUAAAACUCUGUUGUUAGAGAAGAACAAGGAUGAGAGUGGAAAGUUCAUCCCUUGACGGUAUCUAACCAGAAAGCCACGGCUAACUACGUG